CACUCCUGCGGGAGGCAGCAGUGGGGAAUAUUGGACAAUGGGCGCAAGCCUGAUCCAGCCAUGCCGCGUGAGUGAUGAAGGCCCUAGGGUUGUAAAGCUCUUUCACCGGUGAAGAUAAUGACGGUAACCGGAGAAGAAGCCCCGGCUAACUUCGUGCCAGCAGCCGCGGUAAUACGAAGGGGGCUAGCGUUGUUCGGAUUUACUGGGCGUAAAGCGCACGUAGGCGGACUAUUAAGUCAGGGGUGUAAUCCCGGGGCUCAACCCCGGAACUGCCUUUGAUACUGGUAGUCUUGAGUUCGAGAGAGGUGAGUGGAAUUCCGAGUGUAGAGGUGAAAUUCGUAGAUAUUCGGAGGAACACCAGUGGCGAAGGCGGCUCACUGGCUCGAUACUGACGCUGAGGUGCGAAAGCGUGGGGAGCAAACAGGAGUAGAUACCCCUGUAGUCCCAUG
Molecule: ribosomal RNA, 449 nt
Filed under: uncultured organism
Description: partial 16S ribosomal RNA
Rfam family: Bacterial small subunit ribosomal RNA
Source: RNAcentral